This 300-nucleotide ribosomal RNA is filed under the name Triticum aestivum (bread wheat). RNAcentral's name for it is "partial small subunit ribosomal RNA". Lineage: Eukaryota; Viridiplantae; Streptophyta; Magnoliopsida; Poales; Poaceae. The record is from RNAcentral.
AUGCAGACCCUCCCUCGCUGUGCAGUAGCGCCGCCGGUCAUGGCAGCAGCUCAUAGCACCUUCUGCUCCAACGCAGCUUUGCCGUCAACGUGGCCGCAACGUCGACGCGCAUCACCAAACGCAGCUCCGCCGCCGGCCAUGGAAGGAGCAUCCUCUCAGCCUAGCCCUACAUCAACACGAAGUGAUCGGCGACUGGGAUUGCUGGAGAGAGCCGUCCCUGGGAAAGCAUGUUUGCUCGAAGGAAGAAGAAAAAGGAGGAAAAGGAAUGAGUGGCUCAUGCUUCUUCUGGAGAAAAGAUAA